This is a long non-coding RNA of Esox lucius (northern pike), 1677 nucleotides long. The record is from Ensembl. NCBI's taxonomy places the organism in Eukaryota, Metazoa, Chordata, Actinopteri, Esociformes, Esocidae.
CGAGGAUCUCCUCAAUCCCGCCGUCACGUCUUCCAUUGAGGAAGCAGAGGAUGAGGGCUCAGAGGUGGACUCGUCCAUCACCCGGGCUGAAGUCACAGAGGUGGUCAAGAAACUCCUCGGUGGCAAGGCACUGGGGGUGGAUGAGAUCCGCCCUGAGUACCUCAAGUCUCUGGAUGUUGUGGGGCUGUCUUGGCUGACACGCCUGUGCAACAUUGCGUGGCGGUCGGGGACAGUGCCUUUGGGAUGGCAGACCGGGGUGGUGGUCCGUCUUUUUAAGAAGGGGGACCGGAGGGUGUGUUCCAACUAUAGGGGGAUCACACUUCUCAGCCUCCCCGGGAAAGUCUAUGCCAGGGUUCUGGAGAGGAGAAUACGGCCGAUAGUAGAACCUCGGAUUCAGGAGGAACAGUGUGGUUUUCGUCCGGGCCGUGGAACACUGGACCAGCUCUAUACCCUCUACAGGGUGUUGGAGGGUUCAUGGGAGUUUGCCCAACCAAUCCACAUGUGUUUUGUGGAUUUGGAGAAGGUAUUCGACUGUGUCCCUCGUGGCAUCCUGUGGAGAGUGCUUCGGGAAUAUGGGGUCCUGGGUCCUUUGCUAAGGGCUGUCAGGUCCCUGUACAACUGAAGUAGGAGCUUGGUCCGCAUUGCCGGCAGUAAGUCAGACUUGUUCCCAGUGCAUGUUGGACCCAGGCAGGGCUGCCCUUUGUUGCCGGUUCUGUUCAUAAUUUUGAUGGACAGAAUUUCUAGGCGCAGCCAGGGGCCGGAGGGUGUCAGGUUUGGACACCACACGAUUUCGUCUCUGCUCUUUGCGGAUGAUGUUGUCGUGUUGGCCCCUUCAAACCAGGACCUUCAGCAUGCACUGGGACGGUUUGCAGCCGAGUGUGAAGCGGUGGGGAUGAGAAUCAGUACCUCCAAAUCCAAGGCCAUGGUCCUCAGUCGGAAAAGGGUGGCUUGCCCACUUCAGGUUGGUGGAGAGUGCCUGCCUCAAGUGAAGGAGUUUAAGUAUCUAGGGGUCUUGUUCACGAGUGAGGGAAGGAUGGAACGGGAGAUUGACAGACGGAUCGGUGCAGCUUCUGCAGUAAUGCGGUCGAUGUAUCGGUCUGUCGUGGUGAAGAAAGAGCUGAGCCGCAAGGCGAAGCUCUCGAUUUACCGGUCAAUCUACGUUCCUACUCUCACCUAUGGUCAUGAGCUUUGGGUCAUGACCGAAAGGACAAGAUCCCGGAUACAGGCGGCCGAAAUGAGCUUUCUCCGCAGGGUGGCCGGGCGUUCUCUUAGAGAUAGGGUGAGAAGCUCGGUCACCCGGGAGGAGCUCAGAGUAGAGCCGCUGCUCCUCCACAUCGAGAGGGGUCAGCUGAGGUGGCUUGGGCAUCUGUUUCGGAUGCCUCCGGAACGCCUUCCUGGGAAGGUGUUCCGGUCCCGUCCCACCGGGAGGAGACCCCGGGGAAGACCUAGGACACGCUGGAGGGACUAUGUCUCCCGGCUGGCCUGGGAACGCCUCGGUGUCCCCCCGGAAGAGCUGGAGGAAGUGUCUGGGGAGAGGGAAGUCUGGGCAUCUCUGCUUAGACUGCUGCCCCCGCGACCCGGCCUCGGAUGAAGCGGAAGAAGAUGAUGUGUGUGAUAACAGUUAUAUUUCCCUGAUAUUAUAUCAAUAACUACUGUCAUGCAUAACAUAACCCAUAC